This is a long non-coding RNA of Eriocheir sinensis (Chinese mitten crab), 812 nucleotides long. RefSeq lists it as uncharacterized. NCBI's taxonomy places the organism in Eukaryota, Metazoa, Arthropoda, Malacostraca, Decapoda, Varunidae. The transcript has 5 exons. The record is from RefSeq and is a predicted model, not a curated record.
UGUACGCUUGUGUGUGAUGGCGUCCUUAGUCUUAUUACUUUUCCUCUCCUCAGUAUACACAUUUCGGUGCUAUUCUGCGGCGUGCAGGCAACAUAUACUCAGAACAGGAAGAUGGAGGAACAUACAGAUUGGUUUUAGUUUUUCCUUAACCAGAAAAGGUGGUAAACACAAGUGAGGCGCGAGGAGGUGAUGACGAUGAUGAUGAGGAUGAGGAUGAUGAGGAGGAGGAUCAGUGUUUUCGACAAGUAAUCAUCCACCGCUCCCCACAGCCACCUAUCUACCGACCCACCUACCUAUUAACCCCCGCAUCCACCUACUUGCCAACCUGCCUUCAUGCCUACUCACCGACUCAACCUUCCUUGCUACAUGUUCGCUUGCCUGUCUACCUCCAGCGUGAGGAUUAACUGUUCGUGUGUGCCUGUGUAGCUACAACGCGGAUGCCUCGCUCUUCACCUGCACUGUUCACACCUGGAAAUCACACACCUGAUAUGCUGCCUAUUGAGGUCUAUCUGCACAGCAUCACGGAAGGUGUGUGGCGCAAAUGUGGCGAGGCGGCGGCAGACACCCGUCCCCCCUUUCCCCCUGCACUCCGCCCCUCCAUCACGGGCAGCAGACGGGAGGAGCCCCGCCUAACGGAGUGGAAGAUUGAGCCGCAGGUAAGUGUGUGCGGUGUUUGGUGCAUUACGUCCAGGUGGCCAUUUAGCGCCUCAUCGCACCGUCGGGAGCAGUAACGGCCAGAGUGGCGCCGUGAGUCACCCUCGCCGCGGCACUCAAGGCGCAAAACGGAUGAUUUGUUUGUGGUCCUAUCAGCA